This 253-nucleotide ribosomal RNA is filed under the name uncultured bacterium. Its description in RNAcentral is "partial 16S ribosomal RNA". It matches the Rfam family "Bacterial small subunit ribosomal RNA", at positions 524 to 776 of the family's 1533-position model. The record is from RNAcentral.
UACGGGGGGGGUAAGCGUUGUUCGGAAUUACUGGGCGUAAAGGGCUCGUAGGCGGCCAACUAAGUCAUACGUGAAAUCCCUCAGCUUAACUCGGGAACUGCGUGUGAUACUGGAUGGCUUGGAUUUGGGAGAGGGAUGCGGAAUUCCAGGUGUAGCGGUGAAAUGCGUAGAUAUCUGGAGGAACACCGGUGGCGAAGGCGGCAUCCUGGACCAAUAUUGACGCUGAGGAGCGAAAGCCAGGGGAGCAAACGGG